Long non-coding RNA from Xyrauchen texanus (razorback sucker), 945 nucleotides. RefSeq lists it as uncharacterized. The transcript has 3 exons. The record is from RefSeq and is a predicted model, not a curated record. NCBI's taxonomy places the organism in Eukaryota, Metazoa, Chordata, Actinopteri, Cypriniformes, Catostomidae.
UCAUGCACUAAAUAGGGAGCAUCCUAUAUCUCUCUAUAACUGUUCUGAGACCAGUGCAGACAGACAGCACACUGGAGGUUAAGUCAUGCACUAAAUAGGGAGCAUCCUAUAUCUCUCUAUAACUGUUCUGAGACCAGUGCAGACAGACAGCACACUGGAGGUUAAGUCAUGCACUAAAUAGGGAGCAUCCUAUAUCUCUCUAUAACUGUUCUGAGACCAGUGCAGACAGACAGCACACUGGAGGUUAAGUCAUGCACUAAAUAGGGAGCAUCCUAUAUCUCUCUAUAACUGUUCUGAGACCAGUGCAGACAGACAGCACACUGGAGGUUAAGUCAUGCACUAAAUAGGGAGCAUCCUAUAUCUCUCUAUAACUGUUCUGAGACCAGUGCAGACAGACAGCACACUGGAGGUUAAGUCAUGCACUAAAUAGGGAGCAAGGGAGCGUCCUAUAGCUCUCCUAUAACUGUUCUGAGACCAGUGCAGACAGACAGCACACUGGAGGUUAAGUCAUGCACUAAAUAGGGACCAAGGGAGCAUCCUAUAGCUCUCCUAUAACUGUUCUGAGACCAGUGCAGACAGACAGCACACUGGAGGUUAAGUCAUGCACUAAAUAGGGAGCAAGGGAGCAUCCUAUAGCUCUCCUAUAACUGUUCUGAGACCAGUGCAGACAGACAGCACACUGGAGGUUAAGUCAUGCACUAAAUAGGGAGCAAGGGAGCAUCCUAUAGCUCUCCUAUAACUGUUCUGAGACCAGUGCAGACAGACAGCACACUGGAGGUUAAGUCAUGCACUAAAUAGGGAGCAAGGGAGCAUCCUAUAGCUCUCUAUAACUGUUCUGAGACCAGUGCAGACAGACAGCACACUGGAGGUUAAGUCAUGCACUAAAUAGGGAGCAAGGGAGCAUCCUAUAGCUCUCUAUAACUGUUCUGAGACCAGUGCAGACAG